RNAcentral lists this ribosomal RNA (52 nucleotides) under Lachnospiraceae bacterium. Its description in RNAcentral is "partial 23S ribosomal RNA". Lineage: Bacteria; Bacillati; Bacillota; Clostridia; Lachnospirales; Lachnospiraceae. The record is from RNAcentral.
AGUGCAGUAAUGCAUGUAGGUACUAAGUACUAACGGUUCGAGGGUUUGACCU